GGAGGAGGAGGAGGAGGAGGAGGAGGACUCGAUUGGGCACGACGUGUCGUCUCUGAGGGAUGUUGCUACUGGGGCAGGGAGUGAUCUCCAUGAACAAAAUUUUCUGUUUGCCCGUUCUGCAAUGUGAGAACUGCUAGCAAGGCCUUCAGAAUUAUGAAAAAAUUCGUAUUGUAUCGCAAAACUCUGAUUCAAGCCAAGACACACAAAAAGGAAAGAAUUGUGCACCAAGAGAUCUCCAGUGUACCAAAUUGGAUGUGAAGUGUAUACUGGGAAAGGGAAUUUAGUGAUUUAAUAAGAAGAGAAGAAAAAUCAGUGAGAAAUUGCAUAGAAGUGUCAAUCAGGAAAUGGAGCUGUCCCAUGAAAAAACGCCAUCGGUACAAGGAUUUCCUGAAUGUUGACUGAUUAUGCUCACCAAGGCCUUCAGAAAACACCAUAGAUGUUGCUUCAUAGUGACCUUCAGUCAAGGAGAUUUCGUAGCAAAGAAACUGUCAUGUAGGAGAGGUCAACAGCAAGAACACGCAGCAUGAGGCGCAGCCGCUACUGCCUUUGCUUUCUCCUCACAUUAUUAAGAAAGAUCUCUCUCGUUGGGCAGACUCUAAAACCCUUGAGCUGGAAAGGUGACACCGUCCUUGCUGUUUUCACCAGUUAAGAGAGUUCCCCUCGCAGCACAUCUUCAUUAACAGACAAAUAUGGAAGGAAAUAAGAGAGGAUGCUAAGAAAGCAAG
This is a non-coding RNA of Pogona vitticeps (central bearded dragon), 725 nucleotides long. Lineage: Eukaryota; Metazoa; Chordata; Lepidosauria; Squamata; Agamidae. The record is from RefSeq and is a predicted model, not a curated record.